CAGUAGCCGCGGUAAUACGUAGGUGGCAAGCGUUGUCCGGAAUUAUUGGGCGUAAAGGGCUCGCAGGCGGUUUCUUAAGUCUGAUGUGAAAGCCCCCGGCUCAACCGGGGAGGGUCAUUGGAAACUGGGAAACUUGAGUGCAGAAGAGGAGAGUGGAAUUCCACGUGUAGCGGUGAAAUGCGUAGAGAUGUGGAGGAACACCAGUGGCGAAGGCGACUCUCUGGUCUGUAACUGACGCUGAGGAGCGAAAGCGUGGGGAGCGAACAGGAUUAGAUACCCGUGUAGUCCCUGUCUCUUACAC
Molecule: ribosomal RNA, 301 nt
Filed under: uncultured bacterium
Lineage: Bacteria
Description: partial 16S ribosomal RNA
Rfam family: Bacterial small subunit ribosomal RNA
Source: RNAcentral